ACGGAAUGAGAAGGUGAACGCAAAAAAUGGGGGAAAAAAGCCACCUUGGAUGCAGCCUGUCCUGAAAAUAUUGCCAAACAUGUUACUGUGUCGCACAUGGGGCCAAAGGAACUGAGAAUUUAUGCACGCGAUCUGCUAUGUAGUGAUGGAGAUCCAGAUGUGCGUCCUGGCGGAUGAAGACCGUGUGCCCCAGCAUCAUUUAAAAAUUGGGUUGCUUUGAUUUGCCAUCUCCCAACGGUUAUUGAGGUUAAACACAAAGAGAGUGUCUGAAGAAGCAAUUUUGAUUAGUUUCUGGAAGAUUCAUUGUGAUGGCAGUGCAGUGGACAAUAUCAGGUGACACUGGGCAUGUGUAGUCGCUUGGUCCCUGAUGAAAAACCAUGCCGUCUUUUACACCGUGAAGCCUGUCAAGGGCACAUGGCUCUAGGGCCAGUCAUAAGCAGUAACUUGAAUGGGCCGACCAUGUUGCCUCAGAUUUCUCCUGGAUAAAUCAGAGGACUUUGAGAGAGAACCUUUUGAUCUCUGGAAAAAGAAAAAAAAGUGAAACAGAAAUCUUCAGCCUUGAUUGAAUGGACACUGCCCAAAUCCUUGACCUUUUGUGUGUGUGUGCUUGAUGCCACAAACUAUACUUGUAUCUAUAUACACAGUGAGGGACUUUGAGGUCACCAAAGGCCUUUGAUUGCCUGGGUGGAGAGGAGUUAAGGACCUACCAUCCUCACCAUUUUAUCCAGCCGGCAGCUGGCAUUUAUAGACAGUGUUUCCAUUGAGAAUGUGUAUUUUAAGCUUGAGUGUUUUGCUGAGAACCAGCCUUCUCUUCUGCUCUCCCUGAAAACCAUGCAUGCAUGGUUCAUUCUGCUUUAAACACAUCUCCCAUGGCGGGGACACCACGGUCUGAGAGAGAGGAUGGCCUUGAGUGUCCUUCAUAAACCCUUUGUGCUUUCUGUGGAUGACCCUCCUGGCUUUUGUUUUGGGAAUCCUUGCCAGGCCAGAAGCCCAGACAGGACACAAUCUUUGUGUUUAAAGGAUUUCAAAUGGCUGCCUGAGAGGUCUCCUAGUGGCAUCCCUGCAUAUUCCUAGAGGGAGUGCCUAUCUUUCUUAUUAAAAGUCAAACAAAACAAAACAAACAAAAAUACCAAAA
This 1135-nucleotide long non-coding RNA is filed under the name Rattus norvegicus (Norway rat). RNAcentral describes it as "long non-coding RNA NONRATT017397". Lineage: Eukaryota; Metazoa; Chordata; Mammalia; Rodentia; Muridae. The record is from RNAcentral.